CUGCAUCAGCAGCAAGACUACCUGCACUACUGCAGUAAGAGUAACAUCUCUUCCGUGACUAAACAUAUCAGCAGUUAGCAUGAUGAUCUCAGGAAAAAACAGGAGAAGUUAGAGUGCCUUCAGAGUCUUUUUCUUGGCUGCACAGCGAGCAGAGGCAUGG
Struthio camelus australis is the source of this 160-nucleotide long non-coding RNA. RefSeq lists it as uncharacterized. The record is from RefSeq and is a predicted model, not a curated record. NCBI's taxonomy places the organism in Eukaryota, Metazoa, Chordata, Aves, Struthioniformes, Struthionidae.